AAAAUAUCACAAUAGGAAAUUACUAAUUUAGUUUAAAACUAAUCUAAUUAAAUGAGAAAGAAAAAAAAUCGCAAGGUUUAACCCUAUUACUAACAUUAUUAUUAUUAUUAUUAUUAUUAUUAUUAUUAUUAUUAUUAUUAUUAUUAUUAUUAUUAUAAUUAACAUUAUUACUAUUAUUAGUAUUAUUAUUAUUAAGAAAUUUCUAAAACUUACCUUAUCUAUUACUACUUUGUUUGCUACUUCGGGCUCCGACUAAAUUGAUACUCCACACACUACUACAAAUUUUACGCAAAACUCUAAAAUAAGUCCCAAGAUCAAUUAUUUUAGCUUAAUGACAUUAUUGGAAGAAAUCAUAAAAAUAAUAAUUAAUAUAAUCAUUAAUUAAAUUUUAUUCUAAAACUUAGGCUAAAAUUUAAUAUUAGAUUUGCUCCCAAAAGAUACCAUUUUUGCAACUGGGCCGAGUCCUCUCUCCCAUUUUUAGCCCACAAUAACUACUUCCAAAAAUUGGGCUCCCUCCAAUUAAAACAGCCAUUAUAAUUUUAAAAGAACUGGGCUCAUAUUAAUUUCCUCACUUCUUUUGCCCAAGUAAAUAAAAUGCUAGCCCAAUCAAUUAAAACAAAACCCACUAUAUCUAUUCAUCAUCUUCCUCACUCUACAGUAAGUCUACAGCAAGCCUAAAAUGAGAGAAUCCCCCUUUUCACUUGCUGCUAUCGCCGCCGCCAUCCUCAGCGCCACCCCCGCCAUCGACUUUUCCUCUCUCUUCUCUCUUCUCUCUUCUCUCUUCUCUCUUCUCUUCUCCCCCUCUUCACCGCCGGCAUACAGAGGCAGCGGCUUCGCCGCCCUCCUCCCGGCAGUCCGGCCGUCCCCGGACAGCAGCAGAUCUAUACCCUCUCUCUCUCGGUCGGUUUCUCUCCCUCUCUCCUGUACCGCCGCCGCCGCGGAUCUGCCGCUCCGCUUCCUCUCUAUCUCUUUCCUCUCCCACUCCUUUCUCACCCUCGGCUACCCCUCUCCUCUCUUCUUCUCUUUCGGCUCUGCCGCCGCCGCCACUGUGCAUGCACAGGCGGCGGCUUCGACCUCCUCGUCUCGCCAUUGCUGCACGCGGCGGCAGCCCACCGCUGCUGUCCCCCUCUCCGUCGGUUCUCACCGUCGCCGUAUCGACAAAUUCAAAAGAAUGAAAACAGACCGACGGUUUUGGAGCGUGGGCUGUCACCGUCGGCGACGGAGUGCCGAGCUCGCUGCCGGAAAAAAAGUAAGGUGUUGAUGGUACUCACCUCUGUGAGGUGAAGAAGAAAAUGACUUGUUGUUUUUGAACUUUGCUCUGUGAUGUGGACGCCCUUUUUCCUGUUAUGGUGGAAGGAUUCUUGGUGCCUUUUUUGGAGGUUUGAGUAAAUUUUGGUAAGGGAGGUGAAGAAGGUGAAAGUGACGGAAAAGCAAGUGGCCGACACAAUCCUAUCUAAAAAAUUCUCCUUUGUCAGGACAUAAGAUUCGCAUGCUAUUAUUAAAUGCAACAUUUAAUGCUGCUGUCAAUUUAUCCUAGAAGAUCUGCCUCAAUUUAUUUUAUAUUUGUCUCA
This is a long non-coding RNA of Salvia splendens (bonfire salvia), 1571 nucleotides long. RefSeq lists it as uncharacterized. The record is from RefSeq and is a predicted model, not a curated record. The transcript is spliced from 2 exons. Lineage: Eukaryota; Viridiplantae; Streptophyta; Magnoliopsida; Lamiales; Lamiaceae.